UGGACCAGGCUGGUCGGGCUCGGAUGUGGCCUGAUGGGCAAGUGAAAACAGGGCCAGAUUUGUUGGGCCCAACUGUAUCUCGGGUGAAUUUGGUGGGUGUAAGGUGGGUCUAAUGAAGCCCACGAUGAUGACCCGGCUGAGUGCAAGAAGGGGGAAGGGAAGUCGAUGGUACUCAGCGAGGGAAGGAAGCGGCCGACGGGAGAAGAGCUUGGCUGAUGGGCGCCCGGACACGGAACCGGCGGCGGUCUUCCAGCGGCGGGUGCGGUGGUGGAUGGUGGAGGGAGGUGGUACGCGGCCUGUGGAGCCGGCCGAUGGUGAGGAAAAUGGCAAGG
Molecule: long non-coding RNA, 332 nt
Filed under: Phoenix dactylifera (date palm)
Lineage: Eukaryota; Viridiplantae; Streptophyta; Magnoliopsida; Arecales; Arecaceae
Description: long non-coding RNA (PDAC_LNC022370)
Source: RNAcentral